CCUACGGGAGGCAGCAGUGAGGAAUAUUGGUCAAUGGACGAGAGUCUGAACCAGCCAAGUAGCGUGAAGGAUGACUGCUCUAUGGGUUGUAAACUUCUUUUAUAUGGGAAUAAAAUGUGCCACGUGUGGGAUUUUGUAUGUACCAUAUGAAUAAGGAUCGGCUAACUCCGUGCCAGCAGCCGCGGUAAUACGGAGGAUCCGAGCGUUAUCCGGAUUUAUUGGGUUUAAAGGGAGCGUAGGUGGAUUGUUAAGUCAGUGGUGAAAGUGUGCGGCUCAACCGCAGAAUUGCAGCUGAAACUGGUAGGCUUGAGGACAGUAGAGGUGGGCGGAAUGCGUGGUGUAGCGGUGAAAUGCUUAGAUAUCACGAAGAACUCCGAUUGCGAAGGCAGUUCACCGGACUGCAACUGACACUGAGGCUCGAAAGUGUGGGUAUCAAACAGGAUUAGAUACCCUAGUAGUC
RNAcentral lists this ribosomal RNA (460 nucleotides) under uncultured bacterium. RNAcentral describes it as "partial 16S ribosomal RNA". It matches the Rfam family "Bacterial small subunit ribosomal RNA", at positions 338 to 795 of the family's 1533-position model. The record is from RNAcentral.